UUCGCAAUGCCCGAAAGGGUGACGAAGCGACGCCGCGUGCGGGAGGAAGGCCUUCGGGUUGUAAACCGCUGUCGGGAGUUAAGAAAUGCAAGGAUGUUAAUAGCGUUCUUGCUUGACUAAGGCUCCGGAGGAAGCCACGGCUAACUCUGUGCCAGCAGCCGCGGUAAUACAGAGGCGGCAAGCGUUGUUCGGAAUUAUUGGGCGUAAAGAGCACGUAGGCGGCUGUGUAAGUCGGUUGUGAAAGCCUUCCGCUCAACGGAAGAACGGCAUCCGAUACUGCAUGGCUUGAGUGUGGGAGGGGAGAGUGGAACUUCUGGUGGAGCGGUGAAAUGCGUAGAUAUCAGAAGGAACACCGGCGGCGAAGGCGACUCUCUGGUCCAUAACUGACGCUGAGUGUGCGAAAGCUAGGGGAGCAAACGGGAUUAGAUACCCCGGUAGUCCUAGCCGUAAACGAUGGGCACUAAGUAGAGGGGUAAUCG
RNAcentral lists this ribosomal RNA (479 nucleotides) under uncultured anaerobic ammonium-oxidizing bacterium. Its description in RNAcentral is "bacterial SSU rRNA". It matches the Rfam family "Bacterial small subunit ribosomal RNA", at positions 365 to 834 of the family's 1533-position model. The record is from RNAcentral.